GUGCCAGCCGCCGCGGUAAUACGGAGGGAGCUAGCGUUAUUCGGAAUUACUGGGCGUAAAGCGCACGUAGGCGGCUUUGUAAGUCAGAGGUGAAAGCCUGGAGCUCAACUCCAGAACUGCCUUUGAGACUGCAUCGCUUGAAUCCAGGAGAGGUGAGUGGAAUUCCGAGUGUAGAGGUGAAAUUCGUAGAUAUUCGGAAGAACACCAGUGGCGAAGGCGGCUCACUGGACUGGUAUUGACGCUGAGGUGCGAAAGCGUGGGGAGCAAACAGGAUUAGAUACCCGCGUAGUCC
RNAcentral lists this ribosomal RNA (292 nucleotides) under uncultured bacterium. Its description in RNAcentral is "partial 16S ribosomal RNA". It matches the Rfam family "Bacterial small subunit ribosomal RNA", at positions 505 to 796 of the family's 1533-position model. The record is from RNAcentral.